CCUUUUAAAGUUUUUAUAAAUAGAAAGGAAGUGGGGGUUGGAGAUCUCGAAUGUGGUGAUGUUGGAGAGACCAAUGGAUUGUGAAGAUGUUGCAUAUGAGCAUGGAGUAAAUGAAGUGGCUAUGAAAUAAAUUCCAUUCUCAUUAAUGUUUAGAGUGAAAUCCAUGUGGUAUGGUGAAAAUGAUAAGGUGAGUGUGAUAAAAAAAGGAAAAGAAAAAGGAUACACAGACGACUUGGUUCGAAACUAGCACAGCUACCGUUCCCCGGCAACGGCGCCAGAAAGCUUGUUGGGUAUUUUAAACGCAAACAGAAAAAUCCGCAAGCGCACGGAUACCGAUGUAGCCUUCACCUAGGAGUAUUCCAGAGUAUCGACUUUCCACAGGGAACGUGAGUGUACUAAUUAAGAUUCAAGAUCGCCCA
Molecule: long non-coding RNA, 419 nt
Filed under: Sorghum bicolor (sorghum)
Lineage: Eukaryota; Viridiplantae; Streptophyta; Magnoliopsida; Poales; Poaceae
Description: long non-coding RNA (SBIC_LNC013030)
Source: RNAcentral